This 86-nucleotide ribosomal RNA is filed under the name Agonostomus monticola (mountain mullet). RNAcentral's name for it is "partial 16S ribosomal RNA". Lineage: Eukaryota; Metazoa; Chordata; Actinopteri; Mugiliformes; Mugilidae. The record is from RNAcentral.
CAACACUCAUUUAUUUAUACCCCCUCACACACUACUAUCGAUUAAUUAAAGCAUUCUACCCCCCUAGUACGGGCGACAGAAAAGGA